RNAcentral lists this ribosomal RNA (253 nucleotides) under uncultured bacterium. RNAcentral describes it as "partial 16S ribosomal RNA". It matches the Rfam family "Bacterial small subunit ribosomal RNA", at positions 524 to 776 of the family's 1533-position model. The record is from RNAcentral.
UACAGAGGUCUCAAGCGUUGUUCGGAUUCAUUGGGCGUAAAGAGCUCGUAGGUGGCUGGUCGCGUCUGCCGUGAAAGCCCGCAGCUUAACUGCGGGUCUGCGGUGGAUACGGGCCGGCUAGAGGUAGGUAGGGGCAAGUGGAAUUCCUGGUGUAGCGGUGAAAUGCGCAGAUAUCAGGAAGAACACCCGUGGCCAAGGCGGCUCUCUAGUACGGUACUGACGCUGAGACGCGAAAGCGUGGGGAGCGAACAGG